ACCUGCACGUUGAAGAGAAGAGUACAUUCUGGAGUAUGUUUAUAGAGAGCCUCUGUUGGUGGGAUGAGGUAGCGGAAAAGGGAUGGAAGAUGGUCUUGGAGUGAAACGGUCGAAGGUUCUGUGAACUUCAAACCGUUACGGGUGCGCCCGAUAAAGCGCCACAGUAUCAGUAAGUCUAUAGGACUGAACGCACUGGUUAAGGCAGUCACUGUGAAGUGGUUGUAAAUCAAGGUGGUAACGCGAGAGAAUUUUAUUUUCCGUCCUUGCA
RNAcentral lists this non-coding RNA (268 nucleotides) under Marinilactibacillus sp. RNAcentral describes it as "T-box sequence". It matches the Rfam family "T-box leader". From Rfam's summary of the family: Uncharged tRNA acts as the effector for transcription antitermination of genes in the T-box leader family. T-boxes are found upstream of many aminoacyl-tRNA synthetase genes and some amino acid biosynthetic genes usually in Gram-positive bacteria. The anticodon of a specific tRNA base pairs to a specifier sequence within the T-box motif, and the NCCA acceptor tail of the tRNA base pairs to a conserved bulge in the T-box antiterminator hairpin. The record is from RNAcentral. Lineage: Bacteria; Bacillati; Bacillota; Bacilli; Lactobacillales; Carnobacteriaceae.